GAAAUGCGAUAAGUAAUGUGAAUUGCAGAAUCCAGUGAAUCAUCGAAUCUUUGAACGCACCUUGCGCUCCUUGGUAUUCCGAGGAGCAUGCCUGUUUGAGUGUCAUGGUAUUCUCAAGUCCCGCCCCUCUCGCCUUCGCGUUCAUUCACCCUUGAGCGUGUCAGGGUGGGAGGUUGGUCCAAGGGAUUUGGACUUGGAGACAUGCUGGAAUUUCCGCAAUUUCGGCUUCUCUAAAAUGCAGUAGUGUGAACUUGCGGGUUGCACGUGACUCAGUGUGAUAAUUAUCUGUGCUGUGUUGCGGGGGCGACCUGUCGCAUCUGUGAACAACAGAGUUUGCUUUGCGAGGGGUUCAUUGCUUUCAAACAGUCUGUUUGGUCAGACAAACCUGUUAUAUUUGUGAUCUGACCUCAAAUCAGGUAGGACUACCCGCUGAACUUAA
This 439-nucleotide ribosomal RNA is filed under the name Xylobolus sp. 240-569. RNAcentral's name for it is "eukaryotic LSU rRNA". The stretch from base 1 to 105 matches the Rfam family "5.8S ribosomal RNA", at positions 50 to 154 of the family's 154-position model. The record is from RNAcentral. Lineage: Eukaryota; Fungi; Basidiomycota; Agaricomycetes; Russulales; Stereaceae.